AUGCUCUGGUUUCUCUUCAGAUCGUAUAAAUCUUUCGCCUUUUACUAAAGAUUUCCGUGGAGAGGAACAAUUCUGAGUUUUAAACCAAUUUUUCGAAGUCCUGUAAUUUACAGGACU
This is a small nuclear RNA of Panthera leo (lion), 117 nucleotides long. Its record names the gene U5. It matches the Rfam family "U5 spliceosomal RNA". Rfam says of the family: U5 RNA is a component of both types of known spliceosome. The precise function of this molecule is unknown, though it is known that the 5' loop is required for splice site selection and p220 binding, and that both the 3' stem-loop and the Sm site are important for Sm protein binding and cap methylation. NCBI's taxonomy places the organism in Eukaryota, Metazoa, Chordata, Mammalia, Carnivora, Felidae. The record is from Ensembl.